AACAUAAUAUAGUCAAUUGGUAGAGCGUCAGACUCUUACACAGCAACAACAGUGUUGAUCUGAAGGCUGUGGGUUCGAUCCCCACGUCGGGCUG
Molecule: non-coding RNA, 94 nt
Organism: Clathrospora elynae
Lineage: Eukaryota; Fungi; Ascomycota; Dothideomycetes; Pleosporales; Diademaceae
Source: the annotation of a GenBank genome assembly